This 238-nucleotide long non-coding RNA is filed under the name Lathyrus oleraceus (garden pea). RNAcentral's name for it is "Pisum sativum (pea) long non-coding RNA (PSAT_LNC034355)". The record is from RNAcentral. Lineage: Eukaryota; Viridiplantae; Streptophyta; Magnoliopsida; Fabales; Fabaceae.
UUUUUUAAAUGAUGCUUUACAAAAAAAAUUCUAAAAAAUAAGUGAAAAAUCUUAUUGAAAUGGAAAAACAAACCUACUAAUCUAUUAAAAAAUGAAAAAUAAAUAAGAAAAUAGGCAAGCAAGUCCGCCGCCCGCCAACCCUACAUCUUGGCAGGGAGGGUUAGAGUUUUAAGCCUAAUUUCACUUGGCGAACUUGCCAGAAAAUCCCCUUUUUUGGCGGGAUUAAGGUGGGGCGGCC